RNAcentral lists this ribosomal RNA (253 nucleotides) under uncultured bacterium. RNAcentral describes it as "partial 16S ribosomal RNA". It matches the Rfam family "Bacterial small subunit ribosomal RNA", at positions 524 to 776 of the family's 1533-position model. The record is from RNAcentral.
UACGUAGGGCGCAAGCGUUGUCCGGAAUUAUUGGGCGUAAAGAGCUCGUAGGCGGCUUGUCACGUCGAUUGUGAAAGCCCGAGGCUUAACCUCGGGUCUGCAGUCGAUACGGGCUAGCUAGAGUGUGGUAGGGGAGAUCGGAAUUCCUGGUGUAGCGGUGAAAUGCGCAGAUAUCAGGAAGAACACCGAUGGCGAAGGCAGCUCUCUGGGACGGUACUGACGCUGAGACGCGAAAGCGUGGGGAGCGAACAGG